CAGCCACGGGAAUACGUAGGUGGCAAGCGUUGUCCGGAAUUAUUGGGCGUAAAGCGCGCGCAGGCGGAUAGGUCAGUCUGUCUUAAAAGUUCGGGGCUUAACCCCGUGAUGGGAUGGAAACUGCCAAUCUAGAGUAUCGGAGAGGAAAGUGGAAUUCCUAGUGUAGCGGUGAAAUGCGUAGAUAUAUGGAGGAACACCGGUGGCGAAAGCGGCUCUCUGGCUUGUAACUGACGCUGAGGCUCGAAAGCGUGGGGAGCAAACAGGAUUAGAUACCCGAGUAGUCCCUGUCUCUUAUACACAU
This 301-nucleotide ribosomal RNA is filed under the name uncultured bacterium. RNAcentral's name for it is "partial 16S ribosomal RNA". It matches the Rfam family "Bacterial small subunit ribosomal RNA", at positions 512 to 816 of the family's 1533-position model. The record is from RNAcentral.